GAUGAACGCUGGCGGCGUGCCUAAUACAUGCAAGUAGAACGCUGAAGGAAGGAGCUUGCUCUUUCCGGAUGAGUUGCGAACGGGUGAGUAACGCGUAGGUAACCUGCCUGGUAGCGGGGGAUAACUAUUGGAAACGAUAGCUAAUACCGCAUAACAGUAGAUGUUGCAUGAUAUCUACUUAAAAGGUGCAAUUGCACCACUACCAGAUGGACCUGCGUUGUAUUAGCUAGUUGGUGAGGUAACGGCUCACCAAGGCGACGAUACAUAGCCGACCUGAGAGGGGGGAGGGCCCCACGGGGAUGUGAACCGGGCCCAGACCCCUCCGGGGGGGCAAGGGAGGGAAUUUUGGGCAAUGGACGGAAGUCUGACCGAGAAACGCCGGGUGGUGGAAAAAGUUUUUCGGAUCUUAAAGCUUUGUUGUAAGGGAAGAACGGGGGUGGGGGGGGAAAGUUCACCCUGGGGCGGUAUUUUACCAGAAAGGGACGGCUAACCACGG
This 496-nucleotide ribosomal RNA is filed under the name uncultured bacterium. RNAcentral's name for it is "partial 16S ribosomal RNA". It matches the Rfam family "Bacterial small subunit ribosomal RNA", at positions 28 to 506 of the family's 1533-position model. The record is from RNAcentral.